RNAcentral lists this ribosomal RNA (555 nucleotides) under Triticum aestivum (bread wheat). RNAcentral's name for it is "partial small subunit ribosomal RNA". Lineage: Eukaryota; Viridiplantae; Streptophyta; Magnoliopsida; Poales; Poaceae. The record is from RNAcentral.
AUGGCAGAAUGCUUCAAUAAGGUGCUCAAGGGUGUACGUGCAUUACCCGUGACGGCAAUAGUUCAAUACACAUUUGACAAGAUGAAUGGAUACUUUUUAAAGUACUCAAUGGAGACGGAUAAGCAGAUUGCUGGUGAGAACAAGGAUAAGCACAAGUACUAUUUCCCACCAAAGGUUGAAGAAUGGUUGGACUUUCAAUCACGAAAGGCAGACUCCCAAGAAGCUGUACUAUAUGACGACAACGAGUGGAAGUAUGAGGUCAAAGAGCCUGGAGGAACCACAAACGAUGGCCACCAACACGGAGACCGCGCUUUCAAGGUCUCCCUAACACGGUGUGAUUGCAGCUGCAUGAGGCCAUCGUUGCUUCAUCUCCCAUGCUCGCACUUGUUAAACGCAUCCCGUGUUAGGAAUGUGGACGUCAAUCACCCUCUUACCGUGAGGGAGUCCGAGUUCUCAAUCAUGACGGUAAACAAUACAUGGGCUCCCCGGUUUCAGCCAUACUUGGACCAAUCACAAUGGCCGGAGUAUCAUGGAGUUCAACUAUGGCCGGACCCG